AUGCAAAAACUUGAAAUUAUUGAAAAUAAAGUUGCUACCGUAGAGUUAAUUGAAAAUUUGGAUAAAAAGAUCCACAACCAAAUUACUCAAUAUGGAUCUAAAGUAGGAGUCACUUUGAAAAAUAUUAAGGAGAAGGAACCCAUAGUUAAUGAAAGAAUAAAUCAGGAUUCCACUAGAAUCGAUAUACUUGAGGGUAUCAUUACCCACUUGGGAACCGCCUUUUCUUCCGUAAAGAAUACUCUAAGUCCUCCAACUAAAAUUUCCAAGCUUAUGUAUGUUCCUAAAAAUAAGGGUGAAUCAUCUAGCAAGGAAACUGCGGAUCUCAAAUCUAUAAGUAUUCAUCCCAAUCUUUUUGCUAUCAUUAAGGAACCGUUUGCUACUAAUGAUUGUUUCAAUUUUGUGCCUAGAAGUUUAAUAAUUUAUAAAAGGAAAGAAACUCUUAAGGGUGGUAGAUUUCUCAUUAAAUAA
Molecule: ribosomal RNA, 468 nt
Filed under: Triticum aestivum (bread wheat)
Lineage: Eukaryota; Viridiplantae; Streptophyta; Magnoliopsida; Poales; Poaceae
Description: partial small subunit ribosomal RNA
Source: RNAcentral